RNAcentral lists this ribosomal RNA (120 nucleotides) under Candidatus Bathyarchaeota archaeon. RNAcentral also lists the same sequence under 1 other name. The record is from RNAcentral. Lineage: Archaea; Thermoproteati; Candidatus Bathyarchaeota.
AUUGCCGGCCAAAGGGCGCGGGAAACACCCAAACCCAUUCCGAACUUGGAAGUUAAACCGCGCUCCGUUCCUGGUUUUAGUGGGGUCUUCGGCCCCGCGAAGCCAGGAAAGCUGGCAAUC